UACUUGAAUAAGUUGAGCAAUAGAGCCAAGAUACGAUUAAGUACUUGGUAGGCAUUGAAUUGCUAGAAAAGGGGAGCCAAACUCAAAUAUGCAGAGGAGCCAGGAAGUCACUGUGGGUGAGUGAAGCAACCAGCAAGGCCUACUUGGCCACAUGUUUUGAUUCAGAGAGAAGCAAGGAUUUUAUGUGAAAGCCGAUUUUGUGAAGUCUGUAUGGAUUAUGUGAAAUCUCUUGUGUUUUUAGGGUUGGCAGUUACUAUCAGACCGUGCUCUCUCCCUAUUCUCUAAAGCUGCCUUUGACUUUUGAAUUUUAUAUCAUCAGGUUAUGUGCACUACUCUUCACUGUCGCUGCCGGGCCCUUCUCUCCUGCACCUCAAUUCCUCCUCAUUUUUAGAACUCAUUUGUUGAACUGUCUUGGCAAAUCUACUAUCCUGAUUAAAUCCAGUUUUCCAAUUUUUGUCUCUGUACCCAUGCACCUGAGUGUAGCUGGGGGUGAGGGUGAGGUGGGACAAAAGUGCUGUUAAUUGGACUCAAUUGAAAAUCAAAGUCGUGACUCUCAAGUGUGUCCUUUAUCUGCCAGCUGGUCACACUAUGUGCUUUUACUCCAUUUACUCUUCUGGUCUCCUUGACAACUGUUUUAUGACUUUUCUUUUCUCCUCAACUCCCAUCACCUUCCUCCCGAUCCUCAUGCCCAGAUGAGGGUCUUGAGAAUAGGGAUGCAGCGGGGUAAAACUUCCACAGAGUCGUACUACCACAUCGAUGUAGCUCCUGGCAUCUAUACCGCCAUAUACUCCUUGGUCUUUUCCAUAAAUGAAUUAUCUAGGCUCCUAUCCGAGUCUAAUACCUUCACUUGUACACUAGCUCCUGUCUCCUACUCAAAGACAUCAAGGGCGACUUUUCUUGUUCCCUGCUACAUCAUCAAUUUCUCACUCUUUACUGGAUCAAUUCCAUCAGCAUACAAAUAUAUUCCACUUUAAAACAAACAAAAGAACUUUCAUGCCACUUCCCUCUUCCAUCAAUCACCCCAUUUCUUUGCUCCUUUUGUGGUAAAGAGUUGAAUAUUCUCACUGUCUCCAAUUUCUCUCCUCUCAUCUUCUCCUGAACCCACUCUAAUUAGAGCCACCCCUCCCACCUUACUCCACUGAAACUGCUCUCUUCAGGGUCACCUAUGUCCACACCAUUGCUGAAUAUAAUAGUCAGUUGUCAGUCCCUCAUCUUACUUGAUCUAUCGGUAGUUUUUGACACAGUUGAUCACCUCCUCCGUGUUGGACAUUCUCUUCAUUUGUCUUCCGCAUUCUCUUACAUUUUUGCUUAUUUCACUGGUCACUCUUCAGCUUUCUUUGCUGUCUUUCCUCUUCUCCAUUAACACUUAAUGUUUGGGUGCACCAGGACUCAGUCUUUAGUUCUUUUCUCUGCCUACACCCACUCCCUUGGUAAUGUCAACCAGUUUUGAGGCCUUAAAUACCAUCUCUCUACCGAGGACUGCCAAAUUUAUAUGUUUAACACAGACCUUUCUCUUGAACUUGACUCAUGUCCAAAAUUGAGCUCUUGAUCCUGCCCCCUAAAACUGCUCUUUCCACAUUCUUCCCCAUCUAGGUUACUCCAUCCUUCCAGUUCUUGACCCAAAAAUGAGAGUCUUCCUUGACUUCUCUAUUUUUUCAUGGCCUAUAUUCAAUCCACCAGCAAAUCCUGUUGACUCUAUUCAAGAUAUGUCUAGAAUCUGAUACUUUUCUCCAUUCCCGCUACUGCCAUCACAGUUCGAGCCAUCAUAUCCUGUCUGGAUUACUAUAGUUAUCUCCUAACCAAAAGUGUCUUCCACUAUUGCUCCCCACAGGCUUUCCUCAACACUACAGCCAGAUUGAUCCUUUUUUGGUUUUUGUUUUUGCUGAGGAAGAUUCACCCUGAGCUUUCAUGUGUGCCAAUCUUCCUCUCUUUUGUAUGUGGGUCACUGCCACAGCAUGGCUACCAAGUUGUGUAGGUCUGUGCCCAGGAGCCAAAUUAGGGCCACCAAAGUGGAGCCCCUCAAGGUUAACCACUAGGCCAUGAGGCUGGCCCCCAGAUUGAUCCUUUUAAAUGAAAUCUGAUUAUGUCUUUCCUCUGUUGAGAAGCCGACAAUGGCUUCUAAUUUCAGUCAGAAUAAAAGUCAAACUCUUUAUAGAACCUGCAUUCUCUCUCUCUCUCCCUAUUCCUCUCUACCCUGUUACCCUCUGAUCUUGUUUCCUUGUUCAUUCUGCUAGCCACACUGUCGCCUUUCUGGUCCUUGAACACACCAGGCCGAAGCCUACAUUAGAGCCCCUUUGCACUUGCCAUUUCCUUGCCUGGCAUGCUCUUCCCACGUGGUGAAGGUCCACCCUGACCUCCAUAUUUAAAAUAGCAGUGGACCAGGCACUCAGAUUCAGGCUGGCAUGUGACUGAAAUUGGCAAUAAUCCAUGGCGUGGCGGGACCAGAUCUCAUUCAGAUGUCUCUCACUGCAUCUGGGUAGAAACAUGCAACAGCUCUGGCCUUGCCUGGAACCAUUCUGUAACGACAGGAGGUCAAUAUUAGAAUGAAGUGAGCCCUGGAGAUGGUCUAGUGAGAGAAAAGGCAAGAUCCUUGAUAACCUGUUAAGCAGCUCAUUUAUUCUAUAUCUAGAGAAUGUCCUACUUGUGGCCUUCUAAUUAUAUGACAUAAAUUCCCUUAUUAAGUCAGUUUUUAAGCUGAGAGUCUUGUUAUUUGCAUCCAAAUGCAUCCUAACUGAUACCCUGAACGGACAUUUCGUCAUACUCCCUGAUUUGUGGAGGGCCUGUAAAACCAAUGGAAAGGAAACUGACCUCUGCCCAAAACUGGAGUUCAAAUGUAUACAGCUCCAUCUGUGGAAUGUGAGAUGGUUGUGGAAACUGUUUUGCAGAGAGAGUCAAGUGGGCCCCCUGAGAGAAAUAAACGUUAAUAGAGAAGGAUUCUGGCAGCGUGAAGUUCUGGAGGCAUGUGAGACUGCGCUGGGAUCCAUGCAGACCCAGAGCCUGUACCACACCCCACCCACUCCAGCAUACAUGCUUUCCCGGAAAGAGAGGGCUGUGGCUAAGCCACAAAACAUCGACCUAGCCCUUUGCCAUGGGAUGCUCCCCAACUCCUCCCCCCACCCUCCAAUCUUGGAUGCUAGAAGAAGACAGUGCUUCCAUCCCAACUGGAGGGAAGACAGGAAUGAACUGUAAAGAAUAACAAACAGAGAUGCUGAGGAAACCCUGAAGGCUGUGGUGACAAUGGCACCAAUACACGGUAUUAUUAGUGUCCAAGCCACAGCCAAGCACAGGCAUCAAAGCCUAAGAAAUCUGAAAACAGUAUCUCCUGCCUGGUGAACUCCUACUCAUCCUUUAAGACCCAAUUGAAAAGUCAUUACCUCUGUGUUGUGGGUUGACCCCCCCAAAAUAUAUAUUUUAAUCCUAACCACUGAUACCUUUCAAUGUGACCUUAAUUGGAAAUAAAGUCUUUGCAGAUGCAAUCAAA
Molecule: non-coding RNA, 3481 nt
Organism: Equus caballus (horse)
Lineage: Eukaryota; Metazoa; Chordata; Mammalia; Perissodactyla; Equidae
Source: RefSeq, a predicted model, not a curated record